RNAcentral lists this ribosomal RNA (97 nucleotides) under Klebsiella pneumoniae. The record is from RNAcentral. Lineage: Bacteria; Pseudomonadati; Pseudomonadota; Gammaproteobacteria; Enterobacterales; Enterobacteriaceae.
UGGCGGCACUAGCGCGGUGGUCCCACCUGACCCCAUGCCGAACUCAGAAGUGAAACGCCGUAGCGCCGAUGGUAGUGUGGGGUCUCCCCAUGUGAGA